Molecule: ribosomal RNA, 206 nt
Filed under: uncultured bacterium
Lineage: Bacteria
Description: partial 16S ribosomal RNA
Rfam family: Bacterial small subunit ribosomal RNA
Source: RNAcentral
CAUCUAGGCGGUCAAUCAAGUCGAAGGUGAAAACUUGUGGCUCAACCAUAAGCUUGCCUACGAAACUGAUUAACUAGAGUACUGGAGAGGUGGACGGAACUACACGAGUAGAGGUGAAAUUCGUAGAUAUGUGUAGGAAUGCCGAUGAUGAAGAUAGUUCACUGGACAGAAACUGACGCUGAAGUGCGAAGCUAGGGGAGCAAACA